UUCAAUUCAAAUUUAUUUGAUGGAAUUUUCCGUUUCACAAUACAUUAGAAAUAUUGUGCAAAAACUUUCAUGAGCAAUUACCUAGGUUACAGUUACUGGUCAGAUAAUGUUGCCUGGAAGUCCUCAUUCAGAGCAAGGCUAAUUGAACUCUCAGGGUUAGGAUUAAGGUUUAUGGUUUAUCUAUUUUGUGAAGUAAAAGCUUAGGUGCAGGAUGAUAUCUAGGAAAUUUCAUUUCCAUUAUAAGAAUCUUGCCACAAUUUAGUACAAUGGAAACUAAGGUAGGUGUUGUAUUCGAGUUUGUCUCUGUGUGUGUGUGUGUAAUGAAUCUAUGGAUAUGUUUGGUAGAAAAGGUUUAGUAGUUCAUCAGGAGGAUUAAAGUGAAGAAUGCAUCCACGCAAGUUGAUAUGAAUCCAGAAAAUAAGCCCAGUGGACCAUGGCCCUUAGGGUAUAUACAAGCAGAAUGGCAAGGAAGCAACAAGAAGAGUAUAGAAGGAGCUAGCAUAGAAGGUUCAGGAAUGACAGCUGGGCUAGGGGUAACUGAAUUUGAAUAGUUGGUAUGGGGAGAGAAAAUUAUGAAUAGAGGGUAGUAGAAUAAGGAAAUUAUCAGGGAAUAAUAAUGUAAUUCGAGCAGUUGCUUUGGUUUGGUUAUUGCUUGUAACAGAGAGAGAAUUGUGAUUCCUUCAUCAAUGAAAUCUUCAUACAACUUUCUCCACAUUCUUUGUUAGUUUCUUUUUCUCAAGUUCUUUACUCUUAUCACAAGUCCUGCUAGAUUGAUAUUGAGGUUGAGUAGGGUUAAUCUA
RNAcentral lists this unclassified non-coding RNA (800 nucleotides) under Hevea brasiliensis (rubber tree). Lineage: Eukaryota; Viridiplantae; Streptophyta; Magnoliopsida; Malpighiales; Euphorbiaceae. The record is from RNAcentral.